RNAcentral lists this small RNA (715 nucleotides) under Pongo abelii (Sumatran orangutan). RNAcentral's name for it is "processed transcript". Lineage: Eukaryota; Metazoa; Chordata; Mammalia; Primates; Hominidae. The record is from RNAcentral.
GCCUGGGGGGUCAGCAGCUACUGCCCUGUUUUGGCUGUUAGCGUGCUGGACUCUGCGGACAUAGAGGUCACAGACAGUCGCCUGCCUCAUGCCACUAUUGUGGAUCACCGGCCCCAGGUACCAUCUCAUCCUUCUAUCGGAGGCCACCUGCCUCAGGGCAAACUAUGUACACCUGUGUCCUUUAUUCCAGCACCGUUGGUUAGAGACAUGUAACGCGCCUCCCCAAGUGAUCCAGGGUAAGGCACGUAGUGCUCCGAAGCCAUCUCAGGCCUCUGGUUAUUUCUCUGUGGAGCUGGUCCGCGGUUACGCAGGCUUUGGCCUCACCUUAGGUGGGGGCCGGGAUGUAGCUGGGGACACUCCGCUGGCCGUGCGCGGGCUGCUGAAGGAUGGCCCAGCACAGCGCUGUGGUCGUUUGGAGGUCGGGGACCUCGUGCUCCACAUCAACGGAGAGUCAACGCAGGGCCUCACCCAUGCCCAGGCUGUGGAACGGAUCCGAGCUGGAGGCCCCCAGCUCCACCUGGUUAUUCGUCGGCCUCUGGAGACCCACCCUGGCAAGCCUCGAGGGGUGGGAGAGCCCCAAAAAGGAGUUGAUCGCAGCCCAGAUCCUGGAGGGCCGGAGGUAACGGGGUCUCGCAGCAGCAGCACUUCCCUAGUUCAGCACCCUUCAUCCCGGACGACGCUCAAGAAGACCCGGGGCAGCCCGGAGCCUAGUCCA